Apis dorsata (giant honeybee) is the source of this 240-nucleotide long non-coding RNA. RefSeq lists it as uncharacterized. The transcript is spliced from 2 exons. NCBI's taxonomy places the organism in Eukaryota, Metazoa, Arthropoda, Insecta, Hymenoptera, Apidae. The record is from RefSeq and is a predicted model, not a curated record.
UAUCAUAAUAUAAAAAAAUUAGAUUACGAUUGCAUCAAUUGCUCGUAUCUAUAGAAAGAUAAAUGUCAUCUGUGUAGUGUAAUAUAAUAUUAUUGUACUCGUGGGAUAUCUUUGGAAAGUCAUUUUUACACCUAUAGACCAAAACAAAUAUAAAAGUUUGUACAUAAAAAUAUCGAUUGUAAACUGCAAUUAUAGAACGUGAACAAAUUAUGAAAGUAAUGAAAAAUUAAUUUUUCAAUA